AGAGUUUGAUCCUGGCUCAGGAUAAACGCUGGCGGCGUGCAUUAAACAUGUAAGUCGAACGGAUCUUUCUCGCAAGAGGGAGGUUAGUGGCGGACGGCUGAGUAACACGUGAGUGACCUGUCCUACAAGUGGGGGAUAACAGCGAGAAAUCGUUGCUAAUACCGCAUGUGGUGGUCUGGAUAGAGCCAGAUCACUAAAGCUGCAAGGCGCUUGAUGAGGGGCUCGCGUCCGAUUAGCUAGUUGGUGGGGUAAAGGCUCACCAAGGCGAUGAUCGGUAGCUGGUCUGAGAGGAUGAUCAGCCAGACUGGGACUGAGACACGGCCCAGACUCCUACGGGAGGCAGCAGUUAGGAAUUUUGCACAAUGGGGGAAACCCUGAUGCAGCAACGCCGCGUGGGCGAAGAAGGUCUUCGGAUCGUAAAGCCCUUUUCUGCGGGAAGAGAGUGGACGGUACCGCAGGAAUAAGCCUCGGCUAACUACGUGCCAGCAGCCGCGGUAAUACGUAGGAGGCGAGCGUUGUCCGGAUUUAUUGGGCGUAAAGAGCGCGUAGGUGGCUCGACAAGUUGGGUGUGAAAUCCUCUGGCUUAACUGGAGGGGGUCAUCCGAUACUGUCGGGCUGGAGGCAGGCAGAGGAAGGUAGAAUUCCCGGUGUAGUGGUGAAAUGCGUAGAUAUCGGGAGGAAUACCAGUGGCGAAGGCGGCCUUCUGGGCCUGUUCUGACGCUGAGGCGCGAAAGCGUGGGGAGCGAACCGGAUUAGAUACCCGGGUAGUCCACGCAGUAAACGAUGGACACUAGGUGUGGGGGGUAUCGACCCCUCCCGUGCCGAAGCAAACGCAUUAAGUGUCCCGCCUGGGGAGUACGGCCGCAAGGCUAAAACUCAAAGGAAUUGACGGGGGCCCGCACAAGCAGCGGAGCGUGUGGUUUAAUUCGACACAACGCGAAGAACCUUACCAGGGCUUGACAUCACUGGGAAUUGGGCGGAAACGUUCAAGUCCUUUUCGGGGACUCAGUGACAGAUGCUGCAUGGCUGUCGUCAGCUCGUGCCGUGAGGUGUUGGGUUAAGUCCCGCAACGAGCGCAACCCUCGUCGCUAGUUGAAUAAUCUAGCGAGACUGCCGGGAUAAACUCGGAGGAAGGUGGGGAUGACGUCAAGUCAGCACGGCUCUUACGUCCUGGGCUACACACACGCUACAAUGGGUGGUACAAAGGGUUGCAAAAGAGUGAUCUGGAGCCAAUCCCACAAAGCCAUCCUCAGUUCAGAUCGGAGGCUGCAACUCGCCUCCGUGAAGUCGGAGUUGCUAGUAACUGCCGGUCAGCACACGGCGGUGAAUACGUUCCCGGGCCUUGUACACACCGCCCGUCACGUCAUGAAAGCUGGUAACACCUGAAGCCGCUGGGCCAACCCUCUUCGGAGGGAGGUAGGUGUCGAGGGUGGGACUGGUGAUUGGGACGAAGUCGAAACAAGGUA
Molecule: ribosomal RNA, 1466 nt
Filed under: metagenome
Description: bacterial SSU rRNA
Rfam family: Bacterial small subunit ribosomal RNA
Source: RNAcentral